Molecule: non-coding RNA, 438 nt
Organism: Glossina fuscipes fuscipes
Lineage: Eukaryota; Metazoa; Arthropoda; Insecta; Diptera; Glossinidae
Source: Rfam
AAAGAAGUGAGAAAAGGAGACAAAGAGGUGAUGGCUGCAGGCUGCUUACUAGGUCCGAACAUAAGUGUGUAACACAGGUUAAUAGCUUUUUCUCGAAUCUGCAGAUUGUGGAGCAUGGCCGUUCUUAAUUCUUAUAAUAAAUAGAUGCUUUAAGGGUUAAGAAGUUGAAGCUUUUAUGGAAUCUGUUUAUUAAAGCGGAUCCGUACCUCUUAGUUUGUCCUUUUACCGGACAAAACAAUGAAAUUGAGGAAUAACAGCUCUGUAACGCCCUAGGAUGCUCUGAGCUGCGCAAUGAAAGUAUAAACCCAGUGAUCCGGAUAAAUCGCUGGACCACUUUCAGGCUUAGGAUUGGGAAUUGGAAGUUUUCAUUUGGGACUUGGAAUUUCCAGUAAGUGUUAGUGAUUACUUCGCAUUAAUUGGGUCCAUGCUCUUUGUACA